RNAcentral lists this ribosomal RNA (415 nucleotides) under uncultured bacterium. RNAcentral describes it as "bacterial SSU rRNA". It matches the Rfam family "Bacterial small subunit ribosomal RNA", at positions 29 to 445 of the family's 1533-position model. The record is from RNAcentral.
AUUGAACGCUGGCGGCGUGCUUAACACAUGCAAGUCGUGCGGUAACAGGCGUAGCAAUACGUGCUGACGAGCGGCGAACGGGUGCGUAAUACAUGGGAAUCUGCCCUUUAGUGGGGAAUAACCCGGCGAAAGCCGGGCUAAUGCCGCAUAAGAUCUUCGGAUGAAAGCGGGGGAUCGUAAGACCUCGCGCUGAUGGAUGAGCCCAUGUCGGAUUAGCUAGUGGUGAGGUAACGGCUCACCAAGGCGACGAUCCGUAGCUGGUCUGAGAGGACGGCCAGCCACACUGGGACUGAGACACGGCCCAGACUCCUACGGGAGGCAGCAGUGGGGAAUAUUGGACAAUGGGGGAACCCUGAUCCAGCGACGCCGCGUGUGUGAAGAAGGCCUGCGGGUUGUAAAGCACUUUCGGUGGGAA